CUCUCCCCCGAGCCCCCUCACCCCUUUUAAGGUGAAGGCCCUACUCAAUUCCUAUCGGAAUUGCGGCCUUCCUCGGAGAAGAUAUAUAUUUAUAAACCUACCGGGGGGCACUUCCCCCGGACCCCCUUCUCGAAUCAGGUUCCCCUCCGUGGUCACCUUUCGGGUCCCACUCCGGCCCCGCUUCGCUCCUUUUUAUCCAAUCCAACAAUCAUAUUCUGCUGCUUAACACACCAAUUAUGAUUUUUCCUCCAUACCGGGGGGAUUCUCAGAAAGCUUCUUCCCCCCCUUAAGAAUCCCCCCGGGUGGUGAAUCAGAGCAGAGUCGAGCCCUCGCCCCCCCGGGGGGCGGGGGGAUUUCCUCACAUUUGAAGGAUUCAAAUGCUGUUAUGCUUAUCUGAAGGAUUUCAGAUAAGUUGAAAAAGCUUAUCUGAAAGCUUUCAGAUAAGACUCAAGGUUAUAUAUAUUUUUACAUGCUUAUCUGAACUCUUUCAUAUGAGAGUAUAAGAGUUCAGAUAAGAGUAUGGUAAAGGCCUUAUUCAAUUCCUAUCGGAAUUGCGGCCUUGGAAGUGUUAUAUUUUCUUUAAAGCCCGCAGGGUUGAUUAAAGGGUGUUUUAACGCUAGUUAGAUCUUUUUACACGUCCGGAGGCGAACUAUGUUCGUUUCUCAAGUUUUUUCUAGUAAAAUUUAUAAAUUCUAUGUGUUUAUAAAAUAUCGUAGGUGAUGUUCGAAAUCCCUGAUGUUAUGAUUCUCGUGUGAGUAUGUUACUUUCUCGGAACCUCCGACAUUUACUGAGGAACGAAGUGUUCAGACAAGGGUUUUCUUUACUUUGACUUGGUUAAGUUGGUUUCUAGUAAGCAGGUCUAUGGGCGUAAGGCGACGAGCCGAACGAGAAUAAAGUCCUCAUAUUCUGGAUAAAGCCGAACCCGAACCAACUUAACGAGUUAGUUUUCCCCGGCCCUGGGGUAGUUUGUUCACUAUUUGGAUGCGUGUUUCAAGUGCAACUUGAGCAACCAUGGCCCGAGCGGCUCGCCCGCCAAUGUGCAGUAAGAGGUUGGUCUCACCAUGGAUGGGUUAUUGGAAAACUUCCAACGAACGGAGGUGGCAGCUAUUUAACCCCGCAACCUCUUUAGAAAUGUUCCUAGUAAAUGGCCUGCGUUCCGCGGCUUCGCUAGCUCGUGCAAUAUGUCGGUACUAUUCCGUCGGGCAGUAGAGGUAACUGAAAGCGCGUGCAAUCAAGUUCUCAAGGUUGUUACUUUUUGUUGGGAACUCAUUUAGGACAAGACGGCGGACAUUGGUGCUGGUAAACGAGUGGCUCUCGAACUGCCGGUAUCGUCACGUGGGGAAGUCUCGGCGUCGAUCGAGCUCCUCAGCUCAGAAGAGAGAAGAGCUCAGGCAAGUAGUGUGGAGGACAACCCGGACAUGAAACCUGAAGUGACUGCGAAGGCGAAAGCGACGGUGGCUCCAUACCGGGGGGACAACUCCUGGGGAUUCUUUGGGGCGGGAAAGAGAAGAUUCCGAUGAGAAUUAUUAUUGGUGGUGAUUUCGCGAUAGGUUGGGAAACGGAUUGGAAAAAAGGAAAUAAAAAAAGAGCUAUUUUUUUGCGGCGGCGGAGGGGAGGGGUUCCCCCUCUCCCCCGAGCCCCCUCACCCCCUUUUAAGGUGAAGGCCUUACUCAAUUCCUAUCGGAAUUGCGGCCUUCCUCGGAGAAGAUAUAUAUUUAUAAACCUACCGGGGGGCACUUCCCCCGGACCCCCUUCUCGAAUCAGGUUCCCCUCCGUGGUCCCCUUUCGGGUCCCACUCCGGCCCCGCUUCGCUCCUUUUUAUCCAAUCCAACAAUCAUAUUCUGCUGCUUAACACACCAAUUAUGAUUUUUCCUCCAUACCGGGGGGAUUCUCAGAAAGCUUCUUCCCCCCCUUAAGAAUCCCCCCGGGUGGUGAAUCAGAGCAGAGUCGAGCCCUCGCCCCCCCGGGGGGCGGGGGGAUUUCCUCACAUUUGAAGGAUUCAAAUGCUGUUAUGCUUAUCUGAAGGAUUUCAGAUAAGUUGAAAAAGCUUAUCUGAAAGCUUUCAGAUAAGACUCAAGGUUAUAUAUAUUUUUACAUGCUUAUCUGAACUCUUUCAUAUGAGAGUAUAAGAGUUCAGAUAAGAGUAUGGUAAAGGCCUUAUUCAAUUCCUAUCGGAAUUGCGGCCUUGGAAGUGUUAUAUUUUCUUUAAAGCCCGCAGGGUUGAUUAAAGGGUGUUUUAACGCUAGUUAGAUCUUUUUACACGUCCGGAGGCGAACUAUGUUCGUUUCUCAAGUUUUUUCUAGUAAAAUUUAUAAAUUCUAUGUGUUUAUAAAAUAUCGUAGGUGAUGUUCGAAAUCCCUGAUGUUAUGAUUCUCGUGUGAGUAUGUUACUUUCUCGGAACCUCCGACAUUUACUGAGGAACGAAGUGUUCAGACAAGGGUUUUCUUUACUUUGACUUGGUUAAGUUGGUUUCUAGUAAGCAGGUCUAUGGGCGUAAGGCGACGAGCCGAACGAGAAUAAAGUCCUCAUAUUCUGGAUAAAGCCGAACCCGAACCAACUUAACGAGUUAGUUUUCCCCGGCCCUGGGGUAGUUUGUUCACUAUUUGGAUGCGUGUUUCAAGUGCAACUUGAGCAACCAUGGCCCGAGCGGCUCGCCCGCCAAUGUGCAGUAAGAGGUUGGUCUCACCAUGGAUGGGUUAUUGGAAAACUUCCAACGAACGGAGGUGGCAGCUAUUUAACCCCGCAACCUCUUUAGAAAUGUUCCUAGUAAAUGGCCUGCGUUCCGCGGCUUCGCUAGCUCGUGCAAUAUGUCGGUACUAUUCCGUCGGGCAGUAGAGGUAACUGAAAGCGCGUGCAAUCAAGUUCUCAAGGUUGUUACUUUUUGUUGGGAACUCAUUUAGGACAAGACGGCGGACAUUGGUGCUGGUAAACGAGUGGCUCUCGAACUGCCGGUAUCGUCACGUGGGGAAGUCUCGGCGUCGAUCGAGCUCCUCAGCUCAGAAGAGAGAAGAGCUCAGGCAAGUAGUGUGGAGGACAACCCGGACAUGAAACCUGAAGUGACUGCGAAGGCGAAAGCGACGGUGGCUCCAUACCGGGGGGACAACUCCUGGGGAUUCUUUGGGGCGGGAAAGAGAAGAUUCCGAUGAGAAUUAUUAUUGGUGGUGAUUUCGCGAUAGGUUGGGAAACGGAUUGGAAAAAAGGAAAUAAAAAAAGAGCUAUUUUUUUGCGGCGGCGGA
Molecule: long non-coding RNA, 3236 nt
Filed under: Citrus x clementina
Lineage: Eukaryota; Viridiplantae; Streptophyta; Magnoliopsida; Sapindales; Rutaceae
Description: Citrus clementina (C. clementina) long non-coding RNA (CCLE_LNC006193)
Source: RNAcentral